GCAGCAGGCGCGCAAAUUACCCAAUCCUCGAUCGGGGAGGUAGUGACGAAAAAUAACAAUGCCGCAGUCGAAUAGACUCGGCAAUUGGAAUGAGUACAAUCUAAAUCCUUUAACGAGGAACAAUUGGAGGGCAAGUUCUGGUGCCAGCAGCCGCGGUAAUUCCAGCUCGAAUAGCGUAUAUUAAAGUUGUUGCAGUUAAAAAGCUCGUAGUUGGAUAUCAGGAGAUGAUUCACGGACUUCUCAAUGGAGCAACCGUGUUUUCGCUCCUCUUUGUACCGUUUCAUCGUCGAUGCACUUUAUUGUGUGUCACGUUUGAACGGCCUUUUUACUUUGAGAAAAUUAGCGUGCUUAACGCAGGCGUGAAAGCUUGUAUACUGUUGCAUGGAAUAAUGAAAUAGGACCUCGGUUCUGUUUUGUUGGUUUCCGGAAGCUGAGGUAAUGAUUAAUAGGGACAGACGGGGGCAUUCGUAUUGUGGUGUUAGAGGUGAAAUUCUUGGAUCACCGCAAGACGAACAACUGCGAAAGCAUUUGCCAAGAAUGUUUUCAUUAAUCAAGAACGAAAGUUAGAGGUUCGAAGACGAUUAGAUACCGUCCUAGUUCUAACUAUAAACUAUGCCAACUGGGGAUCCGUCGAUUGCCAUUUGUAGGCUCGGCGGGCACCCUACGGGAAACCAAAGUGAACAGGUUCCGGGGGGAGUAUGGUUGCAAAAUCGAAACUUAAAGGAAUUGACGGAGGGGCACACCAGAAGUGGAGCCUGCGGCUCAAUUUGACUCAACGCACGAAAACUUACCCGGCCCGAACACCGUGAGGAUUGACAGAUUGACAGCUCUUUCUUGAUUCGGUGGGUG
RNAcentral lists this ribosomal RNA (849 nucleotides) under Mediorhynchus africanus. RNAcentral describes it as "SSU rRNA". It matches the Rfam family "Eukaryotic small subunit ribosomal RNA", at positions 425 to 1276 of the family's 1831-position model. The record is from RNAcentral. Lineage: Eukaryota; Metazoa; Acanthocephala; Archiacanthocephala; Gigantorhynchida; Gigantorhynchidae.